AUCUUGCUGGAGAUCCCUGCCUACUGAUGUCCUUCACAAGCCAAUUUUGUGAACAAGUUCUGCCAGCUCAUAAAGAGGUGUUUUAGCAACAUGUUCCAGAUGUGAAAGAUGAGAACCGCAAGUUGGAAUGCUAAGAAUGUUCAAAAUUGAACCCAGGGUGACUAGUUGGACAGGAUGAAGAUGAUGACUGAGCAUCUGGAUGGGCUGCAAGUCUCCUGAAAGGAGCAUCAGGGCAACUCAGCCAGAAAUUUUGUUGGCUAUGAGGAGGACACAGAUGACUGCAUGUGCUCUCACACUACCCAGAUCUGCGCCACUCCGCGGGCUCCUGUCCCACUGCCAGGCCUGCAAUUACAAUACUAGACCCAACAGGUGGCAAUCGCAGCCCAGCCUCUGCCUAGUGGAACACCUGUACAAGAGCUUCUGCCUCCCAAACUCUUCCAGACUUAGCAAAGCCAGCAGAAGAAGAGUGCUGGUACUUAACACGCUGCUCCAUUUCGGAUUUCAGGCCAUUUUCGAAGUGUGAUGCACUGCUCUGCUCUGUUCCAGAAAUCUGAAAUAGAACAAAGCAGCCUUAAACUAUGUCUGAGACCAUAAUCAGUGAUAUUGUGGGAAGUCAUAAGGAUGUCCUUGGGCUGUCCUAGGAUUUGGCCAUAUUGUUCUGUUUUCAUUUCCAUAUUGGCUCCAGAAGUAAGAAAAAAUAAACAGGAAGGAGAGAGAAAGGGUGGGGGUAACAGUGCUGUUAGUGAAGCUGAAGAGUUCACUUAUUUCCAUGGAAACAUUCACAUCCUAGCAACAGCAUAUUGAUAGUAAGAUGACAUGGAAAGACAAGAGCUGAUGCCUUUGGCUCAUGGGAAAACAAGCUAUCCUGGAUUUUUAAUUUUUACCUUUUCAAAAAUGGAUAAGUGUUUAAAGAAAAUCCCCAGUCCAUUUUUCUGUUCUUAAUUGCUUAUGCUUUUGUGUUGAAACAUUACCUGUUAUGGCAAAUUGAUGGAGUUGAGGUAUUAUUGGCAUUGUCUGUCUGGACACAGAAAUCAUCAAUAGGCAACAAAGAAACCCAGAGGUAU
Molecule: long non-coding RNA, 1064 nt
Organism: Gallus gallus (chicken)
Lineage: Eukaryota; Metazoa; Chordata; Aves; Galliformes; Phasianidae
Source: Ensembl